GCGGAUGUGGCGGAAUUGGCAGACGCGCUAGACUUAGGAUCUAGUAUCAAUUGAUGUAUGGGUUCAAGUCCCUUCAUCCGCACCA
RNAcentral lists this transfer RNA (85 nucleotides) under Acetobacterium woodii. Its description in RNAcentral is "tRNA-Leu". It matches the Rfam family "tRNA". From Rfam's summary of the family: Transfer RNA (tRNA) molecules are approximately 80 nucleotides in length. Their secondary structure includes four short double-helical elements and three loops (D, anti-codon, and T loops). RNAcentral also lists the same sequence under 4 other names. Lineage: Bacteria; Bacillati; Bacillota; Clostridia; Eubacteriales; Eubacteriaceae. The record is from RNAcentral.